RNAcentral lists this ribosomal RNA (1352 nucleotides) under uncultured bacterium. RNAcentral's name for it is "bacterial SSU rRNA". It matches the Rfam family "Bacterial small subunit ribosomal RNA", at positions 28 to 1381 of the family's 1533-position model. The record is from RNAcentral.
AUUGAACGCUUGCGGCAUGCCUUACACAUGCAAGUCGAACGGUAACGGGUCCUUCGGGAUGCCGACGAGUGGCGAACGGGUGAGUAAUAUAUCGGAACGUGCCCAGUAGUGGGGGAUAACUGCUCGAAAGAGCAGCUAAUACCGCAUACGACCUGAGGGUGAAAGGGGGGGAUCGCAAGACCUCUCGCUAUUGGAGCGGCCGAUAUCAGAUUAGCUAGUUGGUGGGGUAAAGGCCUACCAAGGCAACGAUCUGUAGUUGGUCUGAGAGGACGACCAGCCACACUGGAACUGAGACACGGCCCAGACUCCUACGGGAGGCAGCAGUGGGGAAUUUUGGACAAUGGGCGCAAGCCUGAUCCAGCAAUGCCGCGUGCAGGAAGAAGGCCUUCGGGUUGUAAACUGCUUUUGUCAGGGAAGAAAUCUUCUGGGCUAAUACCCCGGGAGGAUGACGGUACCUGAAGAAUAAGCACCGGCUAACUACGUGCCAGCAGCCGCGGUAAUACGUAGGGUGCGAGCGUUAAUCGGAAUUACUGGGCGUAAAGCGUGCGCAGGCGGCUUUGCAAGACAGAUGUGAAAUCCCCGGGCUCAACCUGGGAACUGCAUUUGUGACUGCAAGGCUAGAGUACGGCAGAGGGGGAUGGAAUUCCGCGUGUAGCAGUGAAAUGCGUAGAUAUGCGGAGGAACACCAAUGGCGAAGGCAAUCCCCUGGGCCUGUACUGACGCUCAUGCACGAAAGCGUGGGGAGCAAACAGGAUUAGAUACCCUGGUAGUCCACGCCCUAAACGAUGUCAACUGGUUGUUGGACGGCUUGCUGUUCAGUAACGAAGCUAACGCGUGAAGUUGACCGCCUGGGGAGUACAGCCGCAAGGUUGAAACUCAAAGGAAUUGACGGGGACCCGCACAAGCGGUGGAUGAUGUGGCUUAAUUCGAUGCAACGCGAAAAACCUUACCUACCCUUGACAUGUCAAGAAUUCUGCAGAGAUGUGGAAGUGCUCGAAAGAGAACUUGAACACAGGUGCUGCAUGGCCGUCGUCAGCUCGUGUCGUGAGAUGUUGGGUUAAGUCCCGCAACGAGCGCAACCCUUGUCAUUAGUUGCUACGCAAGAGCACUCUAAUGAGACUGCCGGUGACAAACCGGAGGAAGGUGGGGAUGACGUCAGGUCCUCAUGGCCCUUAUGGGUAGGGCUACACACGUCAUACAAUGGCCGGUACAGAGGGCUGCCAACCCGCGAGGGGGAGCCAAUCCCAGAAAACCGGUCGUAGUCCGGAUCGUAGUCUGCAACUCGACUGCGUGAAGUCGGAAUCGCUAGUAAUCGCGGAUCAGCUUGCCGCGGUGAAUACGUUCCCGGGUCU